This 517-nucleotide ribosomal RNA is filed under the name uncultured bacterium. Its description in RNAcentral is "bacterial SSU rRNA". It matches the Rfam family "Bacterial small subunit ribosomal RNA", at positions 8 to 518 of the family's 1533-position model. The record is from RNAcentral.
AGAGUUGAUCAUGGCUCAGGAUGAACGCUAGCGACAGGCUUAACACAUGCAAGUCGAGGGGCAGCAUAAAAGUAGCAAUACUUGGUGGCGACCGGCGCACGGGUGAGUAACGCGUAUGCAACCUACCUAUCAGAGGGGAAUAGCCCGGCGAAAGUCGGACUAAUACCGCAUAAAACAGGGGCACCGCAUGGUGAUAUUUGUUAAAGAAAUUCGCUGAUAGAUGGGCAUGCGUUCCAUUAGGUAGUUGGUGAGGUAACGGCUCACCAAGCCGACGAUGGAUAGGGGAACUGAGAGGUUGGUCCCCCACACUGGUACUGAGACACGGACCAGACUCCUACGGGAGGCAGCAGUGAGGAAUAUUGGUCAAUGGGCGGGAGCCUGAACCAGCCAAGUCGCGUGAAAGGAAGAAGGAUCUAUGGUUCGUAAACUUCUUUUGCAGGGGAAUAAAGUGCAAGACGUGUCCUGUUUUGUAUGUACCCUGAGAAUAAGGAUCGGCUAACUCCGUGCCAGCAGCCGC